RNAcentral lists this ribosomal RNA (258 nucleotides) under Vibrio chagasii. Its description in RNAcentral is "partial 23S ribosomal RNA". It matches the Rfam family "Bacterial large subunit ribosomal RNA", at positions 2691 to 2925 of the family's 2925-position model. The record is from RNAcentral. Lineage: Bacteria; Pseudomonadati; Pseudomonadota; Gammaproteobacteria; Vibrionales; Vibrionaceae.
ACCGGAGUGGACGAACCUCUGGUGUUCGGGUUGUCAUGCCAAUGGCAUUGCCCGGUAGCUAAGUUCGGAAUCGAUAACCGCUGAAAGCAUCUAAGCGGGAAGCGAGCCCUGAGAUGAGUUUUCCCUGACACUUUAAGUGUCCUAAAGGGUUGUUCAAGACUAGAACGUUGAUAGGCAGGGUGUGUAAGUGCUGCGAGGCAUUGAGCUAACCUGUACUAAUUGCCCGUGAGGCUUAACCAUACAACACCCAAGGGGUUU